This is a non-coding RNA of Acanthosepion pharaonis, 104 nucleotides long. The record is from the annotation of a GenBank genome assembly. Lineage: Eukaryota; Metazoa; Mollusca; Cephalopoda; Sepiida; Sepiidae.
UUACGGCCAUAUCAUGUCGAAACACCGUUUCUCGUACAAUCUCGGAAGUUAAGCAACGUCGAGCCUGGUCAGUAGUGACCGCUUGGAAAUAUCAGGUGCUAUAA